Molecule: transfer RNA, 67 nt
Filed under: Marmota monax (woodchuck)
Lineage: Eukaryota; Metazoa; Chordata; Mammalia; Rodentia; Sciuridae
Description: tRNA.Ser
Source: RNAcentral
GGUUGUAGCUCAGUGGUAGAGUGUUUGCCUUGAAUGUGUGAGGCACUGGGUUUGAUCCUCAGCACCA